This 4640-nucleotide long non-coding RNA is filed under the name Triticum aestivum (bread wheat). RNAcentral describes it as "long non-coding RNA (TAES_LNC020471)". The record is from RNAcentral. Lineage: Eukaryota; Viridiplantae; Streptophyta; Magnoliopsida; Poales; Poaceae.
UGUGUCAACUUCCGCCACCACCGCGCAGAAACCAAUCGCCAUCACGCCCCCUCCCCAUUUACGCCCAGCCUCCCUCGCCACACGCGGCCUCCUGUGUAGCCAGCAUCAUGCCCAGCGUCGCCUCCCUCGCCGGCGCGCCUGCAGCCUCCACCAUAUUAUGGAGUCACCGCCGCUGCCACCGCCUUUCCAGGUCGUGCUUCCUGAUUGCAACAGUAAAGGGGGAUUGAAGCGGUCGUGAGGUCAAGGAGAGGGGAGGUCCAGGCAUUGGAGAGGAGGAAGAAGGUGGUGAAGGUUGUUCUGUUGCUGCUGAUCCUCCCCAGGCCAGACACGGCCAUGUUCUGUUGAUACUGAUCCUGUAUCACAGUGCCCACAAUAUGUUUGAGGUAAUGCCCACCAGGUUGCUUUUUGAUUAAUUAGUUCAAUUAUUAUAUGGACAUGUGAAGAUACUUUAGUUUGAUCGAGUCCAGAUAAUUGAGUUCAAUCGAGUCAAAUGUGGAGGAGUAACAUCUACGUAUAGAAAUUGAUAAUAAGUAAUCCAAUGCCCGAUUCAGUUCUUAGUUCUUACGUCUACAUAUGCAUGCAAUGACUGAAUAUUAUGACGACCAGUUCAGGAUUCAGAGGUAGAGGAAUAGCCUGCAAGUGUGCACCGUUUCUGAUGCUUGCACGGCGAGUGCUCUUCCUGGCCACCGCCUCGGGCACCACCAAUGGCAUCGGGAAGUAUUCAUCCGCCAAACCAGCUGUGCAGGCACCCUCCUCCGAAACACUCUCAGCGAGCCCCCUCACCCAAUCCAGCAUUCCCGGCCAUGUACUCCCACUUCCUCUUCAACCCCCUCCCGUUGGGUCAGGCCUUCCUUCAAUUCGGCGGACAUUGAGUCGCCGCCUCGGCUCUAGACUCACUGGCGAGUGGACUGGCGAGGGAAGAUGACGGGAUGGAGAUUGAUCACUAUACGCAAAAGGUGGACCUACUUUGUUUUGUUAUUAGUAUUACCAACACUAAACUGCAUGCAUGGGAACUGGGAGUUUGAGACGGGCUUGCAGUAAGUUGUAAGCCGCGACCAUACAAUUUCAGUAUCUAUUCAUGUGUACGUCGGACCUAGACAAGGUUGGAGGGCAGGUAGAGGACCGGUGGUGCGUUAGGCAUGCAGCGUGUGUAACAACAGUCGACCACAGGUGGGCAGCACACUGUCACUAGGGAAGGAGAUGGUGGCAGUGUGUUUUGAUUAGCAGCAGGUGGCUCCAUGGUGGCCAGUGCAGCAGCGAGCUAGCGUGUUGCUGUGGGAAGAGGCAGAAAAAUUAAUCUGUUUGUGGUUGGACGAUGGAUUCCCGUUCCCUGGUAGGCAGCUAGCUCUUGAAAUAAUUUCAGCAAGAACAACAUCCUCAAUUUGGAGUGGUCUUAUUCGCUACUGCAUAUCUUGGACAUUUUCAAAUGUAGAUCAGAUUAACUAUAUAGUAGACACUGUGCUGUUGGUGUUUAACUGCUCGUGAGAUACGCGUCAAUAUUGCAAUCAACUCUGACUGCAAUUGUAUAGUCUCAAGGGCCUGCAUUCUAUAUUGAAGGUUCAACAUUGAAGCUGCUUGCAUUGAUCCGCAAUAGACCUUGACUUCAGCAAAAAAUGAGGUAUAUUGAGCUUAAUGACACAUGGUUACAUACAGAUAGAAGAACCGCUUGUACUAUAUAUGUUUUUGUCCUGAAGUACCGUUUCUACUUCUGAUUCAUGUAAUGAAUAUUCAGUGUAUAUAGUUCAUUCUCUACACCUUUUUUGAAGAAAACACCUAUUUCUCUGUGUUUAUAUUUAAAACCUAUGUUUUUAUUUUAAAGAACACAUAUGAAUUUUUGUUGGACAUGAAAUGAGCUACCAUAACUACUAUAAUCUAUGCAUAUGGUUUCCGUAGAUUUUUUUGGUGAAGAGUUGGAAUACCAAAACACAAGAAUGCACUAGAUGUCCUUGAUUAUAGUUAUACUUUGUGUAGGUUUCUAUAUGUUGAAUUUCACAUGGAGCAACUUGGUCCGCGAGUUCUGUACACACUAUUUUCAUCAGCUUGUGUGGUAGCAACAAUAUUUGUGCCACGACAUGUAGUCGAAACAUAGGGAAAAACUUUGUGGAGAGAGAAGUUUCACUGUUGAAAACACAAUAAAGGCACCCUCUACUCUUUCCUCUGACAUAAACCAUUUCAGAUCAUCUUUGUCUACCAGUCAGCAUCUAUAAAUAGCACUGGUGAUAUUAUAAGUUGGCAGUAUUAUAUAUAUUCUUAGUUGAGAACUUGGUAGUUAGGGCAUGUGGAUUACAAGUACCACACCGAGAAUACUUACAUGCUCUUGUCAUUGCAGGUUUCAUGGUGGCAGUGCCUUCUUCUACAUGAUGGGAAUUCAACGGCAUUUUUUUUUGUUAAAUACUAGCUGGGUGUGUCGUCUAUUCACAGAUCGUGUAAUUUGACCAUCUCUUGCAGACAAAACACUCGGGGAAAGUUCCCAGCCGUGCACCUGUGACCGCUGGAGAGGCAUACUGUUUUAGGAAUUCAUGACAGACUGGUAGUGAGGUUUGUGUCUAUAGGAUGGAAUUACUUGAUAUGUCAAAAUGGUGGUCUUUAUUAUGCAAUUUAAGUGAUCUUUUGUUGAACCCCUCCUUUCCAGAAAACUACUCAUAAUGUUUUGGGAUUAUUUGAUUUUAGUAAGGUGACUUAUACACCUAGACGGCGGGAGUAUUAAUUAAUCUUUCAAGUUUGAUCUUCUGUCUGCAUAGUUUUAAUGAUAUUGAAUGCAUCAGUUCAAAGCAUUUUGUGGUGAAAAUCUAGGUCAACAACCAUAUACUAAAUGAACAUGCUACUGACUGCAUUUCCUGUUAACAGAAUUUAUUGUUUGAUAUUUGGGAUCCUCAGUUUCUAACAAUAAUUCAACCUGUGGCAACACACCCGCAUAUGCACCUUAUAGAGAUGAAGGCAACCUUAUUUGGUUGUCAGACUUGAAUAUAAGUCGAGCGUAGUGGCACGUGAAGCUGGUUUAGUCGAUUUUUAAGCCCGUUGCAACGCACGGAUGUUUUUCGGAUUAAAUGGAAGUGCGGAUUAAAUGGAAGUGCGGAGCUAAAAUAGGUAAUGAUGAACAUUGUUAGGGUCCCUCAAAUUUCAUCUUACAAAAAGAAAUACUCAGUUUAACCUUAUUUCUGACGUUUACAAAAAUUGGUUUAUAAAAAUAUUGCAUAAUGGCACAUGGAGCAUGUUAUAUUUUAUUUUUCGCCCAGUGCAACGCACGGGCAUUCUGAGAGAGUGAAGCAUAUUUGCUUGAGAUUUGAAUUAUUUUUUUAUGUCAGGUUUGUACGCUAUAUUGUUUGAUUAAUGAAAACUGAUAAGAGUAGUAGCAAACACUUGAUUGAGUAAGCUACUGGAUUUUACGAGUAAUACACAGUAGUUUCUUGCAAUAUUAUCUGCAUGACAAGAAACACCCAUAUUUGAUUUUGCUCUGUGAUUGGUUCAAAUAUCACUUUUUGGGCUAAAGCUGAUUGGAUACGAGUAGUAGUGUCAACAGUAAUAACUUGAAACAUGAUUUUAUCAUGGCUCUAAAUUUUAUUGCUGAUGAUUUCUUUCAGGAUAUUUGUAGAGGCUAUUUGCACCGUAGUUCAAGGCAGAUGAUAGAGUACAGGCGAGGCAACUCACUUAUAUUGGUACUCGUUUAAAUGGUUAUCUAUUCUGCCGGCAUAGUUACAUGCCAUAUUAAUUUCAGAAGAACAAUUUCUAAUUUAGUGUUGUGCUUGCAUGCAUUGUUAUGUCUAAAAAGAAAAUUCCAAACAAAAACAAAUAUAAAGUCACAGUUUGUCUUUACACACUGGAUAAUGAAUGUUUCAAUCACGCUAAAUUGAACCAAGGCUUUUAGAAUAAAUUGUGACCUCUAAGCUUGUGUGUAGUCAAUUACUAAAUGUGUAAUAUUAGCACAUAUUAGCAUGACUAUUUCUUAAGUGCAGCCAGCCACCAAUUCCAUUUGAUUUGAAUUAAUAUAUUACUUAUAUACUCAUUUAGAUAUUUAUUUAUGUCCUUGAUGGAUAUAUAUAUCCCUAAUCUCUCCCUAAUAAUAAAGCACGGAUUGGGUCUCCGGGUUCACCGUCACAAUACGCUUUCUUCACAUGUCAUAAUACGCUUUUACGAGAUAAAAUUGUAAUAUAAAUGAGGUGGUACUAAUUGAAUUGAAUCGGUACGAAAGAAAAUAAAAACGCAGCCACGCUUUGCCUCGCGGCGCUCCGCCCCGCCCAACCCACCGUUCCCUCCAGCCAGGCCCCGCGCGCCGCCGGCCGACUCCUGCCUCCCAAUCCCAUCUCCUCCCCACGCGGGGCUUUCUUCGCCGUUCACAGCUCCCCUCCAUCGACUGGCCGCGACCUCGCUGGAGGCAGAGGAUGGGAGGGUGCGGAGCUGGCAUCCGCCUCACGAAGAUCGAGCGGACCGAUCUGCGCGCCGGCGACCUCGCGGGAGGCAGAGGAUGGGAUGGCGUGCUGCACUCGAGACGAGCGGGCUCGAUUAAGGGGACCAGAGGUUGGCGCCGGCGGGCUCGUGGACGGGGAUGGAGAGGGCAGGUGCCAAUCCGGCGUGACAAGAAAGUUGUUGCGGCGCCGGCCGACCAGCUCCGUCUCCGCGAUUCCAUGGACGGCGGUGGCGUC